Molecule: ribosomal RNA, 253 nt
Filed under: uncultured bacterium
Lineage: Bacteria
Description: partial 16S ribosomal RNA
Rfam family: Bacterial small subunit ribosomal RNA
Source: RNAcentral
UACGUAGGGUGCGAGCGUUGUCCGGAAUUAUUGGGCGUAAAGGGCUCGUAGGCGGUUUGUCGCGUCGGGUGUGAAAACCUUGGGCUUAACUCAGGGCUUGCUUUCGAUACGGGCAGACUAGAGGUAUGCAGGGGAGAACGGAAUUCCUGGUGUAGCGGUGAAAUGCGCAGAUAUCAGGAGGAACACCGGUGGCGAAGGCGGUUCUCUGGGCAUGAUCUGACGCUGAGGAGCGAAAGUGUGGGGAGCGAACAGG